This 695-nucleotide ribosomal RNA is filed under the name uncultured bacterium. Its description in RNAcentral is "bacterial SSU rRNA". It matches the Rfam family "Bacterial small subunit ribosomal RNA", at positions 732 to 1428 of the family's 1533-position model. The record is from RNAcentral.
GGAUAAUACCGACGUUCAUGCUNGAAAGCGUGGGUAGCAAACAGGAUUAGAUACCCUGGUAGUNCACGCCCUAAACGAUGUCAAUUAGCUGUUGGGGCACUUGAUGCCUUAGUAGCGAAGCUAACGCGUGAAAUUGACCGCCUGGGGAGUACGGUCGCAAGAUUAAAACUCAAAGGAAUUGACGGGGACCCGCACAAGCGGUGGAUGAUGUGGAUUAAUUCGAUGCAACGCGAAGAACCUUACCUGGUCUUGACAUGUACGGAAUCUUCCAGAGACGGAAGAGUGCCUUCGGGAGCCGUAACACAGGUGCUGCAUGGCUGUCGUCAGCUCGUGUCGUGAGAUGUUGGGUUAAGUCCCGCAACGAGCGCAACCCUUGUCAUUAGUUGCCAUCAUUUAGUUGGGCACUCUAAUGAGACUGCCGGUGACAAACCGGAGGAAGGUGGGGAUGACGUCAAGUCCUCAUGGCCCUUAUGACCAGGGCUUCACACGUCAUACAAUGGUCGGUACAGAGGGUAGCCAAGCCGCGAGGUGGAGCCAAUCUCAGAAAACCGAUCGUAGUCCGGAUUGCACUCUGCAACUCGAGUGCAUGAAGUCGGAAUCGCUAGUAAUCGCAGGUCAGCAUACUGCGGUGAAUACGUUCCCGGGUCUUGUACACACCGCCCGUCACACCAUGGGAGUGGGGGAUACCAGAAGUA